AGUUGUAGAAUCACUGGUGAAUAAGGGGUGGGCAAGUUCUGGUGUCAGCCGCCGCGGUAAAACCAGCACCUCGAGUGGUCAGGAGAUUUAUUGGGCCUAAAGCAUCCGUAGCCGGUUGCAUAAGUUUUCGGUUAAAUCUAUGCGCUUAACGUAUAGGCCGCCGAAAAUACUGUGCAGCUAGGGAGUGGGAGAGGUACACGGUACUCGAUAGGAAGGGGUAAAAUCCUUUGAUCUAUUGAUGACCACCUGUGGCGAAGGCGGUGUACCAGAACACGUUCGACGGUGAGGGAUGAAAGCUGGGGGAGCAAACCGGAUUAGAUACCCGGGUAGUCCCAGCUGUAAACGAUGCAGACUCGGUGAUGCAUUGGCUUGUGGCCAAUGCAGUGCCGCAGGGAAGCCGUUAAGUCUGCCGCCUGGGAAGUACGUACGCAAGUAUGAAACUUAAAGGAAUUGGCGGGGGAGCACCACAAGGGGUGAAGCCUGCGGUUCAAUUGGAGUCAACGCCAGAAAUCUUACCUGGGGAGACAGCAGAAUGAAGGUCAAGCUGAAGACCUUACCAGACACGCUGAGAGGUGGUGCAUGGCCGUCGCCAGCUCGUGCCGUGAGAUGUCCUGUUAAGUCAGGUAACGAGCGAGACCCCUGCGUCUAGUUGCUACCAUUACUCUCUGGAGCAGUGGAGCGAAUUAGACGGACCGCCACAGUUAAUGUGGAGGAAGGAAGGGGCCACGGCAGGUCAGUAUGCCCCGAAACCCUAGGGCUACACGCGGGCUGCAAUGGUAUUGACAUGUGUUCCGAAUCCGAAAGGAGGAGGCAAUCAUCAAACAUAUCUCAGUUAUGACUGAGGGC
This 846-nucleotide ribosomal RNA is filed under the name uncultured archaeon. Its description in RNAcentral is "bacterial SSU rRNA". It matches the Rfam family "Archaeal small subunit ribosomal RNA", at positions 415 to 1261 of the family's 1478-position model. The record is from RNAcentral.